AGCAGAGAUGGUUUAUAUAAACGUCUCUUUUUUCUAUUGAAGUAAAACGAACGGCGUUAAGUAGAGGCAGUUCUAAUUUUCGUAGGUAUAUAAAGAUGGUUUAGACCGUCUCUACAUAUACUAAGGGUAAAAAAGGAAACAUAAAUGAAGUGAAUAGGUUUUAGAAAUAUGAUUUACUCAAAAUCUUUUGUUCUCUCUGCUUCAACCAUAAAUUUUAAAUGUUUUAGAAAUACGAUCUUUUGAAUUUUCUCUCAUCUUCUUCCAUUAAUGGAGCAUCUUGGGAUCUAGUUCGAUGGUGAAGAUCAAACGAAUAUCCAAGGAAUGUUUUUUUAAUGGAUUUUUAGGUCAAAAUUGGAUCUGAAGCUAUAAUUUUUAGAUUGCCACAUGAUUUUUUCAUCAAUUGAGGUGAAGGAUUUUUCUCAGCUGCUAUUUGUUGCCGAUUUGUUCCCCCUUUCGCUAUUCGUUGCCGAUUCAUUCUCCCUUUCUCUAUUCGUUGUCGAUUUGUUCUCUAUAUCUUCUUCUAAAGAAAUCAUAUGAAACUAAACAGUAUAAGAAGGGGUUGAUCGCAAACUUGCAUAUGAACAAUCAAGGGAGCACUGGCUUUAGAAGAAGGACUCUCCAAAGGCCUUCCAAUUCAGACUCCAGGAGGUAUAUUGCAAUGGUGGAAAUGUGCCAAGUUGCUGGCAAUAGAUAUCAGGACUUGCUAUGUUGUCAAAGAUGAGAUCAACUUGAAGACUCACAGAAGACCGGAGAUCAAAAGCUGAUAGAUUUAAAGUAGAAAUAAAUUAGCUUAAAUAUAUAGUUGUAGCCUUAUAGGUGUUUUUGGAUUUAGUUAGUAUUUUUUGAUGAAUCUGGAUUUAGUUAGUGUAACUGAAUAUAUUAAUUUAAGUAUAUAAAGUAGAUAUUGUAAUUUCAAAAUAUAUAUAUUUUUCACUAUUAACAUUUUGA
Long non-coding RNA from Mercurialis annua (annual mercury), 948 nucleotides. RefSeq lists it as uncharacterized. The record is from RefSeq and is a predicted model, not a curated record. The transcript is spliced from 6 exons. Lineage: Eukaryota; Viridiplantae; Streptophyta; Magnoliopsida; Malpighiales; Euphorbiaceae.